UGGGGAAUUUUGGACAAUGGGCGCAAGCCUGAUCCAGCCAUGCCGCGUGCGGGAAGAAGGCCUUCGGGCUGUAAACCGCUUUUGUCAGGGAAGAAAUCUUCUGAGUUAAUACCUCGGGAGGAUGACGGUACCUGAAGAAUAAGCACCGGCUAACUACGUGCCAGCAGCCGCGGUAAUACGUAGGGGUGCAAGCGUUAAUCGGAAUUACUGGGCGUAAAGCGUGCGCAGGCGGUUUUGUAAGACAGAGGUGAAAUCCCCGGCUCAACCUGGGAACUGCCUUUGUGACUGCAAGGCUUGAGUGCGGCAGAGGGGGAUGGAAUUCCGCGUGUAGCAGUGAAAUGCGUAGAUAUGCGGAGGAACACCGAUGGCGAAGGCAAUCCCCUGGGCCUGCACUGACGCUCAUGCACGAAAGCGUGGGGAGCAAACAGGAUUAGAUACCCUGGUAGUCCACGCCCUAAACGAUGUCAACUGGUUGUUGGGAAGGUUCCUUCUCAGUAACGUAGCUAACGCGUGAAGUUGACCGCCUGGGGAGUACGGCCGCAAGGUUG
This 548-nucleotide ribosomal RNA is filed under the name uncultured bacterium. RNAcentral's name for it is "partial 16S ribosomal RNA". It matches the Rfam family "Bacterial small subunit ribosomal RNA", at positions 355 to 896 of the family's 1533-position model. The record is from RNAcentral.